RNAcentral lists this long non-coding RNA (624 nucleotides) under Equus caballus (horse). Its description in RNAcentral is "lncRNA (ENSECAG00000054303.1)". The record is from RNAcentral. Lineage: Eukaryota; Metazoa; Chordata; Mammalia; Perissodactyla; Equidae.
GGCAGUGUAACUGUGCAUCGGAGACAAUGAAAUAGAGCUUUAGGAACUACUGGACACUGGCUCUGAGCUGACACUGAUUCCAGGAGACCCAACAUAUCACUCCAGUCCACCAGUUACAGUAGAGGCCUAUAGAGGGAAGUCAGCUGCCAUGUUGCAAUUUGCCCUCUGGAGAGACCCACUUCAUAAGGAAGGGAAGAAGGACUCUGGCCAAGAGUCAGUGAGAAAUUGAAUAUCCCAAUCCAUCAACCUGCAAGGAACUGAUCCUGCCAAAAAGCACACAACUUAGUUUGCCAGCAGAUCCCCCUCAAGUUGAGGCUUCAGAUGAUACUACAUACUUGGCCGACAGCUUGAUUGCAAACUCAGGACAUAUCUUGAAGCAAAGGCAGUCAAUUGAGCUGAACUUGUGUCUUGGAUUUAAAAAAAAAAUGAAAAAAUAUUUUUUAAACCCGCUAAUAUUUUGGGUAAUUUAUCAUAGAGCAAUAGAUAACUCAUCCAUCAGCAAAAUAAACAAACAAAUAAAUAACAAUACAAAGAAUGUCACAUAAUGAUAAAGGGAUCAAUUCACUAAAAUUAUAUAGUAAUUUUAAAUAUAUAUGUACCUAAACAUCAAGCUGUGGGAUAUUU